GACAGAGGCCUCGAGCGUUAGGCGGAAUCACUGGGCUUAAAGCGUGUGUAGGCGGAUCGUUAAGUACCUUGUGAAAUCCCACGGCUCAACCGUGGAACGGCUGGGUAUACUGGCGGUCUUGGGCCAUUCAGGGGCGACUGGAACAAGCGGUGGAGCGGUGAAAUGCGUAGAUAUCGCUUGGAACGCCGAAGGUGAAAACAGGUAGCUGGGAGUGUGCUGACGCUGAGACACGAAAGCCAGGGGAGCGAACGGG
This 253-nucleotide ribosomal RNA is filed under the name uncultured bacterium. RNAcentral's name for it is "partial 16S ribosomal RNA". It matches the Rfam family "Bacterial small subunit ribosomal RNA", at positions 524 to 776 of the family's 1533-position model. The record is from RNAcentral.